GACAGCCUCCGGAUCACAUGGUUACUCAGCGUCUGCCAGCCUAAGUGACGGUGAGAUCCAGGCUGUC
Molecule: microRNA precursor, 67 nt
Filed under: Human betaherpesvirus 5
Lineage: Duplodnaviria; Heunggongvirae; Peploviricota; Herviviricetes; Herpesvirales; Orthoherpesviridae
Description: microRNA hcmv-mir-UL112 precursor
Gene: hcmv-mir-UL112
Source: miRBase by way of RNAcentral